AGAAAGUUUGAGAUCGCCGUGGAC
Molecule: non-coding RNA, 24 nt
Filed under: Arabidopsis thaliana (thale cress)
Lineage: Eukaryota; Viridiplantae; Streptophyta; Magnoliopsida; Brassicales; Brassicaceae
Source: RNAcentral